Molecule: ribosomal RNA, 253 nt
Filed under: uncultured bacterium
Lineage: Bacteria
Description: partial 16S ribosomal RNA
Rfam family: Bacterial small subunit ribosomal RNA
Source: RNAcentral
UACGGAGGGUGCAAGCGUUAAUCGGAAUUACUGGGCGUAAAGCGCGCGUAGGCGGCUUGAUAAGUUGGAUGUGAAAUCCCCGGGCUCAACCUGGGAACUGCAUCCAAAACUGUCUGGCUAGAGUGUGGUAGAGGGUAGUGGAAUUUCCAGUGUAGCGGUGAAAUGCGUAGAUAUUGGAAGGAACACCAGUGGCGAAGGCGGCUACCUGGACUAACACUGACGCUGAGGUGCGAAAGCGUGGGGAGCAAACAGG